RNAcentral lists this ribosomal RNA (373 nucleotides) under uncultured prokaryote. RNAcentral's name for it is "bacterial SSU rRNA". It matches the Rfam family "Bacterial small subunit ribosomal RNA", at positions 524 to 896 of the family's 1533-position model. The record is from RNAcentral.
UACGUAGGUGGCAAGCGUUGUCCGGAAUUACUGGGUGUAAAGGGAGCGUAGGCGGGGCAACAAGUUGAAUGUGAAAUCUAUCGGCUCAACCGGUAGGCUGCGUUCAAAACUGUUGCUCUUGAGAGAAGUAGAGGAUGGCGGAAUUCCUAGUGUAGCGGUGAAAUGCGUAGAUAUUAGGAGGAACACCAGUGGCGAAGGCGGCCAUCUGGGCUUUUUCUGACGCUGAGGCUCGAAAGCGUGGGUAGCAAACAGGAUUAGAUACCCUGGUAGUCCACGCUGUAAACGAUGAUUACUAGGUGUGGGGGGUCUGACCCCUUCCGUGCCGCAGUUAACACAAUAAGUAAUCCACCUGGGGAGUACGACCGCAAGGUUG